CCUACGGGAGGCAGCAGCAACGAAUAUUCCGCAAUGGGCGCAAGCCUGACGGAGCGACGCCGCGUGCAGGAGGAAGUCCCUCGGGAUGUAAACUGCUGUCAGGGGUGAGGAACAUUGACCAGCCCCGGAGGAAGCACCGGCUAACUCCGUGCCAGCAGCCGCGGUAAUACGGAGGAUCCAAGCGUUAUCCGGAUUCAUUGGGUUUAAAGGGUGCGUAGGCGGAUUUGUAAGUCAGUGGUGAAAUCCUGCAGCUUAACUGUAGAACUGCCAUUGAUACUGCAAGUCUUGAGUACAUUUGAUGUGGGCGGAAUGUGUCAUGUAGCGGUGAAAUGCUUAGAUAUGACACAGAACACCGAUUGCGAAGGCAGCUCACAAAACUGUAACUGACGCUGAGGCACGACAGCGUGGGGAUCAAACAGGAUUAGAUACCCUGGUAGUCCACGCCGUAAACGAUGGAUACUAGCUGUUGGGGGCAACUUCAGUGGCUAAGCGAAAGUGAUAAGUAUCCCACCUGGGGAGUACGUUCGCAAGAAUGAAACUUAAAGGAAUUGACGG
This 555-nucleotide ribosomal RNA is filed under the name uncultured bacterium. RNAcentral describes it as "bacterial SSU rRNA". It matches the Rfam family "Bacterial small subunit ribosomal RNA", at positions 338 to 916 of the family's 1533-position model. The record is from RNAcentral.